This 44-nucleotide non-coding RNA is filed under the name Trypanosoma brucei brucei. The record is from RNAcentral. Lineage: Eukaryota; Euglenozoa; Kinetoplastea; Trypanosomatida; Trypanosomatidae.
AUAAACUAUACAAUCAGAUUGCCGAUAGAAGGUUGUGAUUUAAU